RNAcentral lists this transfer RNA (73 nucleotides) under Stegodyphus mimosarum. It matches the Rfam family "tRNA". Rfam says of the family: Transfer RNA (tRNA) molecules are approximately 80 nucleotides in length. Their secondary structure includes four short double-helical elements and three loops (D, anti-codon, and T loops). Lineage: Eukaryota; Metazoa; Arthropoda; Arachnida; Araneae; Eresidae. The record is from Rfam by way of RNAcentral.
GCUUUCGUAGUGUAAUGGUGAGCACACUAGGCUCGUAUUCGAGAAGUACGAGGUUCGAGUCCCAGAGAGGGCA